UACGUAGGGUGCGAGCGUUGUCCGGAAUUACUGGGCGUAAAGAGCUCGUAGGUGGUUUGUCGCGUUGUCCGUGAAAACUCACAGCUUAACUGUGGGCGUGCGGGCGAUACGGGCAGUCUGGAGUACUGCAGGGGAGACUGGAAUUCCUGGUGUAGCGGUGGAAUGCGCAGAUAUCAGGAGGAACACCGGUGGCGAAGGCGGGUCUCUGGGCAGUAACUGACGCUGAGGAGCGAAAGCGUGGGGAGCGAACAGG
Molecule: ribosomal RNA, 253 nt
Filed under: uncultured bacterium
Lineage: Bacteria
Description: partial 16S ribosomal RNA
Rfam family: Bacterial small subunit ribosomal RNA
Source: RNAcentral